This 660-nucleotide ribosomal RNA is filed under the name uncultured bacterium. RNAcentral describes it as "bacterial SSU rRNA". It matches the Rfam family "Bacterial small subunit ribosomal RNA", at positions 94 to 788 of the family's 1533-position model. The record is from RNAcentral.
AGUGGCGGACGGGUGAGUAACGCGUGAGAAUCUGCCUUGGGGUCGGGGACAACCACUGGAAACGGUGGCUAAUACCGGAUAAGCCGAUUGGUGAAAGAUUUAUUGCCCGAAGAGGAGCUCGCGUCUGAUUAGCUAGUUGGUGAGGUAAGAGCUCACCAAGGCAGCGAUCAGUAGCUGGUCUGAGAGGACGAUCAGCCACACUGGGACUGAGACACGACCCAGACUCCUACGGGAGGCAGCAGUGGGGAAUUUUCCGCAAUGGGCGAAAGCCUGACGGAGCAAGACCGCGUGAGGGAGGAAGGCUCUUGGGUUGUAAACCUCUUUUCUCAGGGAAGAAGCUCUGACGGUACCUGAGGAAUCAGCCUCGGCUAACUCCGUGCCAGCAGCCGCGGUAAUACGGAGGAGGCAAGCGUUAUCCGGAAUUAUUGGGCGUAAAGCGUCCGCAGGUGGCGAUUCAAGUCUGCUGUCAAAGCACGGGGCUUAACUCCGUAAAGGCAGUGGAAACUGAAUAGCUAGAGUGCCGUAGGGGUAGAGGGAAUUCCCGGUGUAGCGGUGAAAUGCGUAGAGAUCGGGAAGAACAUCGGUGGCGAAAGCGCUCUACUGGACGGCAACUGACACUCAGGGACGAAAGCUAGGGGAGCGAAUGGGAUUAGAUACCCC